AGUCAUAUGCUUGUCUCAAGGAUUAAGCCAUGCAUGUCUCAGUAUAAGCUUCUACACGGCGAAACUGCGAAUGACUCAUUAAAACAGUUAUCGUUUAUUUGGUGGUCAUUCAUUACAUGGAUAACCAUGGUAAUUCUAGAGCUAAUACAUGCGCCCAAACCCAACUUUGUGGAAGGGUUGUGUUUAUUAGGUACAGAACCAACCCAGGCUCUGCCUGGUCUUCUGGUGAUUCAUGAUAACCGAACGAAUCGCAUGGCAUCAGCUGGCGAUGAACCAUUCAAGUUUCUGACCUAUCAGCUUCCGACGGUAGGGUAUUGGCCUACCGUGGCAAUGACGGGUA
Molecule: ribosomal RNA, 340 nt
Filed under: uncultured eukaryote
Lineage: Eukaryota
Description: SSU rRNA
Rfam family: Eukaryotic small subunit ribosomal RNA
Source: RNAcentral